GGGGAAUUUUCCGCAAUGGGCGAAAGCCUGACGGAGCAAUACCGCGUGAGGGAGGAAUGCCUUUGGGUUGUAAACCUCUUUUCUCAGGGAAGAAGAUCUGACGGUACCUGAGGAAUAAGUAUCGGCUAACUCCGUGCCAGCAGCCGCGGUAAUACGGAGGAUGCAAGCGUUAUCCGGAAUCAUUGGGCGUAAAGCGUCCGCAGGUGGUUUCCAAAGUCUGCUGUUAAAGACUGGAGCUCAACUCCGGAACGGCGGUGGAAACUUGGAAACUAGAGUCCGGUAGGGGUAGCAGGAAUUCCCAGUGUAGCGGUGAAAUGCGUAGAUAUUGGGAAGAACAUCGGUGGCGAAGGCGUGCUACUGGACCGUAACUGACACUCAGGGACGAAAGCUAGGGGAGCGAAAGGGAUUAGAUACCCCUGUAGUCCUAGCUGUAAACGAUGGAAACUAGGUGUGGCUUG
RNAcentral lists this ribosomal RNA (458 nucleotides) under uncultured marine microorganism. RNAcentral's name for it is "bacterial SSU rRNA". It matches the Rfam family "Bacterial small subunit ribosomal RNA", at positions 356 to 829 of the family's 1533-position model. The record is from RNAcentral.